This 426-nucleotide ribosomal RNA is filed under the name uncultured prokaryote. Its description in RNAcentral is "bacterial SSU rRNA". It matches the Rfam family "Bacterial small subunit ribosomal RNA", at positions 355 to 796 of the family's 1533-position model. The record is from RNAcentral.
UGGGGAAUUUUCCGCAAUGGGCGCAAGCCUGACGGAGCAAUACCGCGUGAGGGAGGAAGGCUUUUGGGUUGUAAACCUCUUUUCUCAAGGAAGAAGCACUGACGGUACUUGAGGAAUCAGCAUCGGCUAACUCCGUGCCAGCAGCCGCGGUAAUACGGAGGAUGCAAGCGUUAUUCGGAAUUAUUGGGCGUAAAGCGUCCGCAGGUGGUGCCUCAAGUCUGCUGUCAAAGACCGAAGCUCAACUUCGGGCAGGCAGUGGAAACUGAAGCACUAGAGUACGGUAGGGGUAGAGGGAAUUUCCAGUGUAGCGGUGAAAUGCGUAGAGAUUGGAAAGAACACCAGUGGCGAAGGCGCUCUACUGGACCGUAACUGACACUCAGGGACGAAAGCUAGGGGAGCGAAAGGGAUUAGAUACCCCCGUAGUCC